GACCCCGUAGCUCAGCUGGAUAGAGCAGCCGCCUUCUAAGCGGCAGGUCGCAGGUUCGAACCCUGCCGGGGUCGCCA
RNAcentral lists this transfer RNA (77 nucleotides) under Methylocella tundrae. RNAcentral describes it as "tRNA-Arg". It matches the Rfam family "tRNA". Rfam says of the family: Transfer RNA (tRNA) molecules are approximately 80 nucleotides in length. Their secondary structure includes four short double-helical elements and three loops (D, anti-codon, and T loops). Further hydrogen bonds mediate the characteristic L-shaped molecular structure. tRNAs have two regions of fundamental functional importance: the anti-codon, which is responsible for specific mRNA codon recognition, and the 3' end, to which the tRNAs corresponding amino acid is attached (by aminoacyl-tRNA synthetases). tRNAs cope with the degeneracy of the genetic code in two manners: having more than one tRNA (with a specific anti-codon) for a particular amino acid; and 'wobble' base-pairing, i.e. permitting non-standard base-pairing at the 3rd anti-codon position. RNAcentral also lists the same sequence under 2 other names. Lineage: Bacteria; Pseudomonadati; Pseudomonadota; Alphaproteobacteria; Hyphomicrobiales; Beijerinckiaceae. The record is from RNAcentral.